CAGCCACAAAAAUCAAGUUAUUGCUGCAGUAAAUUACAUAUCUGGUGGUGACCAUGCCCAGGUGGCGGGAGCUAUGCAGCUUCUUUAUUUGUCCGAGACCUUAAAGAAGGUGUAUGAUAGGAUCAAAUUGUUUAUGCCAUCCAUUUUGGGGUCGGUUUCAAACUCAGGAUCAAUGUAAAAGAAAACAGGCAUGUCAAUCUGCUCCUAUCAUACACCUUCUUUAAG
RNAcentral lists this unclassified non-coding RNA (225 nucleotides) under Hevea brasiliensis (rubber tree). Lineage: Eukaryota; Viridiplantae; Streptophyta; Magnoliopsida; Malpighiales; Euphorbiaceae. The record is from RNAcentral.